AAAAAAAUAAUUCUUACAUAACUGUAAACAGAAGAAUUAGGAAGUAGCAUUUCGUUUCAGGAAUUUUCUGCUGCUAUAAUGGCCUUGUGCAUGAAAACAGAGAUUAUUUGUUACAUUUCCCUGGGAGCAUUGAUUAUUUAAUUAUGUAGACAUUUUAGUCCCAUAGUCUUUCACUGAUAUCAUAUCUAUGUUUCCCUUUUGGUUUGGAACAGGUGAACAAAAUCGAAGAGAGUUUUGAUUUGAUAAACUCAGGAACAAAGCCACUUGCAGCUUAUUUAUUCUCCAAUAAAAAGAAACUCAAGGAACAGUUCGUGAUGUCUGUCUCUGCAGGGGGUCUAGUCAUCAAUGACACUACUGUGCAUGUAAUUAUUCUUUCUUGAUCUUGUGGAAACUAGCCGUGUACAUAUGCAUUCAUAAUUUAGAUACAUGUCUCUGCAAUAGAAUAACAACUUGCUGCUUAUGGUUAACAUGAGAGUUGGGAUGAUGCAUACACCCAGAAAUAAAUUUUCCAUGCAUCUUCAAAUCUCAUUAGGCACUGUUGAGUUAUUACUGGAGUGCAUUGAAUGGACAGAUCGGGUGUAUCAGCCAUGUGUUUGAUUUGGGGAUCAAUGAAUGAUUUGUGCUGAAACUUGUUCUUAGUUAGGGAAUUCUUUGGGAUGAUAUAACUGCAAUGCCAGGGACUGAGGAAGCCUACAAUAUAUUUUACUUGCUUUUGGAAAGCAAUGUCAGGGUAAUUAAACUUUAGAUAGAGUACAAGAAUGCAAGAGUGGUAGUGGUAGCUAGGAGGAGACACCUUUUGCAUACGGAAAGUAUGUACCAUCCAAAUCUAAGUUUUAAAAAUAAUAUAGCAGUCAAUUUGUAGUGAUCGUGGUGGUAACCAAUGCUUGGUUAUUAUGCUAAUGAACAGGAAGCUGAGUUCCCUGUACUCAAAGAUGGGUAAUUCCUAAAAAUUAGAGGCAUCAGCUGAAGAUAAUCCUAAACAUUUUCACAUGGAAUAGUUAGUUGCCUGAAAAUUCAUGUUGUUGCCUGAUAACCUGAGUCAGCACUGUAUUGCUUAUGAUCCUUUAGAUAUUGGCAAUGGUUGAAAGUUCUGUUGCAGAUUCAAGUACUUCUUCAGUUGGGGUUGGAUAUGUUUCUGCUUUUUGCUAAGUUCCAUCUAAUAUUCUUCUAUAAUACAGCAUGGGCAUGCACUUCUAAAUAAUCAAUAAAAACCUGUCUUUCAUUCUCAUAUUGCAUGCAUGUAUCCUUGAAAUUUGUAGAUUUAAUAUCACAAAAUUGAAUACUGGUUAAUAUCUGCACAUAACAUGUGCUUCUUGAUGCAG
This 1322-nucleotide unclassified non-coding RNA is filed under the name Hevea brasiliensis (rubber tree). Lineage: Eukaryota; Viridiplantae; Streptophyta; Magnoliopsida; Malpighiales; Euphorbiaceae. The record is from RNAcentral.